ACGGGUGAGGAAUACGUCGGAAUCUGCCUAUUUGUGGGGGAUAACGUAGGGAAACUUACGCUAAUACCGCAUACGACCUACGGGUGAAAGCGGAGGACCUUCGGGCUUCGCGCAGAUAGAUGAGCCGACGUCGGAUUAGCUAGUUGGCGGGGUAAAGGCCCACCAAGGCGACGAUCCGUAGCUGGUCUGAGAGGAUGAUCAGCCACACUGGAACUGAGACACGGUCCAGACUCCUACGGGAGGCAGCAGUGGGGAAUAUUGGACAAUGGGCGCAAGCCUGAUCCAGCCAUGCCGCGUGUGUGAAGAAGGCCUUCGGGUUGUAAAGCACUUUUGUCCGGAAAGAAAAGCAUUGGGUUAAUACCCCGAUGUCAUGACGGUACCGGAAGAAUAAGCACCGGCUAACUUCGUGCCAGCAGCCGCGGUAAUACGAAGGGUGCAAGCGUUACUCGGAAUUACUGGGCGUAAAGCGUGCGUAGGUGGUUUGUUAAGUCUGAUGUGAAAGCCCUGGGCUCAACCUGGGAAUGGCAUUGGAAACUGGCUGACUAGAGUGCGGUAGAGGGUAGUGGAAUUCCCGGUGUAG
RNAcentral lists this ribosomal RNA (580 nucleotides) under Lysobacter sp. BvIRR043. RNAcentral's name for it is "bacterial SSU rRNA". It matches the Rfam family "Bacterial small subunit ribosomal RNA", at positions 102 to 678 of the family's 1533-position model. Lineage: Bacteria; Pseudomonadati; Pseudomonadota; Gammaproteobacteria; Lysobacterales; Lysobacteraceae. The record is from RNAcentral.